This is a long non-coding RNA of Oreochromis aureus, 1257 nucleotides long. NCBI's taxonomy places the organism in Eukaryota, Metazoa, Chordata, Actinopteri, Cichliformes, Cichlidae. The record is from Ensembl.
GGCCUUCCCACAGGGUUUUGUGGAGGUGUGGGUGGGUAACAACUUUAAAACUAUCAGAAAAUAAAGUGCUUUUUCAAACAACGACUUCAUCAGCAACAUAGUAGGCCAGAAAGAGCCUGCACGGCCUGACUUUUGUCUUUCAUCACCUUUUCCUUUUGUUCAGCUGCUUUUCAUCUGGCUUCUGCGAGGUUGCUGGGCUCUUUAAAACAGCACGUGCAGAUAUUGUUUUGGAUUUUAAAGUAAUUUUUUUUCCAGGACCACUCAGAGGUUAAAGCCUGAAGCUUGUUACCUGUUCUUGAGAAAAUCACCCUGUGUACACUGGAGGAGUCAGGAGCUCACAGCUGGUCUCAAACCUUUGUCACUCUCACAGUCCAGUGGAUUCAUCGACUGCACUGCCACUCGCCAGCCUGCCCAUUCUCCGUGGAUACCUAAUUGCUCACACCGCAUGUCCACCUGCUCACCGAUACUUCUACCUUAAGCUCUUCUCACCUGCACUCACAAAUAAGCCCUCAGCUACAAUCUAUUAGAGUCGCCACCCGGGUUCACCAGUAGUGUUUGGGUCACACCCAUUUUUCCCACAGUCCAUCACUGCUCAACACUCAUUGGAAAUAAACCUUUAAAGACUUUCAACUGUCUUCUCUUUGGCUCUGAAAGUACUUUAUUCUUUGCCAACAACAGCCCUGAGAGACUCCUGGUGGUGGCAAUACACAUAAAGGUUCAGGCCAGCCAAAAAUAUUAGCUGGUGGACCAUCGAGACGAGCGAUGGUGGUGAAGCAGCAGUGUUAGCACUACCUUGAAUUUUAAUUAUAUUCAACACUUUCUGUAUACUGUUGAGACUACUUGAUGCUUCCUGUCAGCACCUGCCAAGGAGAACAGUCCUUGUUGCAAAUGGGAUGUAAGGAAUAAACUAAGGAGAGCACAGAGAUGCGUGAACAGCCUGUCACUUGUGGCCACUGAAUCAGAUCCGUCUGGCAGACUGUAAUGACUUGAUCAAUUAUUUUUCUCCAUGGAAUGCAAGAAGAAAGUCAGUACUUUAAGUAGGACAUUUUCUCUGCUGUUUUAUUUACAUUGAAACGUGUGUUUGACUCCUUAAGACUGUAUGUAUUGUGCUGUUGAUGACAUUUAUAGAUCAUCAGUAUAAAGUAAUACUUUGUGUUACAGUGUGGACAAAGUCUGUGUGCUGAAGUUGGGCCUGUGCCAAGAUUGCAUCCAGAUUAUUUGAGUCAUUAUAAUCCACCCGUGAUUUAGUGGAAAUUG